UUUAAGCCUUGUUGGUUUGCAUCCAGGGCGCCUGAAGCUCACGUGCUGGGGAGGGUGUUGACACAUUUGGCCUUGAGCCAGGGGCUGUGGUGAGGCCUCUGGUGAGGUUCUGGUUCUGGGCUGUUCUCAGGUUUGUCACCCUGGAGCCUCAGUUUUACCUUCCAGAAAAUGGGUCUGUGCAGCUGCGCUGUCAGGCUUGUCUUUGUGACUUGAGGGCGCAGCUCAGAGAGACACAGCUUGUGCUGUGCAUGUAGUCAGCGAGUGGCUUCUGGGUGACCUCUGUGGCCAGCACCUCUGGGCCUUGGGGACAGAGCAGUGGCAGCACACCUGGGUAUCUCGGGACAGUCAGAGCUUGCCGGCGGCCAUCUCGGUAGAGUCCUGGGGUCAGGGAGACCUGCAGGGCGUUCAUCCAGCCCUUAGAGCCCCAAAGGUCCUAUCCUGGGCUCAAGUGUGCUGGGGCUUUGGAAACCUGUCUCAGGUUUGAGCACCCCAAUCUGGGUGACGGGUUCUGGAGUGGAUGGGGACACCCAGGCCGUUGGGGACAGUCGUGGGAGUGGCUCACACGGCAGGGAGCCAGCAGGCAUUGGUGCUGGCAGCAGAAGCCAUCCCGAGCAGAUGGCCUUGUGAUGUGCAGCACCGUGGGGGCUGGGGUCCAGUGCCUCCUAAGCCGGAUCCCCUCUCAGCUGUGCUGUCUCCUGGCCAAGAUCUUUACUUCCCAGCACAGUGACCUGCCUCUGGGCCUCGGUUUGCCCGUCUGUUGAGUGGGAGGGUCGUCUAGGUUGGCUGUGCGGAAUCAGAUAACCCUGUGUGAGGGCCCAUGGUGGGCUGAGUGGGAGCGAAUCUCCUCCCUCCCUCGGCCGUGCCUGGCCUGGGGCAGGGGCUGUCGGAGCUGGCGCAUCACUGGCAGCACUGCUGAGGCCGGGGCAGCACCUGGCUCCCACGGCACGCUCACUCUCGGUUAUCUAAGAGGUGGGGCCUGCUCCUGUCCCCGCCCAUGUCCCUGUUUGUGGGCAAGGAGCCAGGAAGCAGAGGCCAAGGAGUGCCACGGGUUCCGGAGCUGGUGUGUGGGGCUGGGAGCAGGCCCAGGCCCCCACUCCCCGUCCCUGUCCCGUGCUUGGUCCCGUGGCCCUGCUGGAGUCGAGGCUGUCUGUGACGUGCGGUUUCUUUGUGCAGAAAGCUCCAGGUCGUGACUUAUGGAGGGAACAAAGGCCCUUUAUAGCAAACGCUCUUGGCACAUAAGGGCAGGUGUAUCUGAGAACAGCCUGGAUCACGGGGCUCCUGGGCCCGGCCCCGUCCUCCACUGUAGUUGUGGGGGGUGCUGAGGGUCCCCACAGCCCUGAGAAGACCCCCACAGCCCCCGCCCUCACCCCGGGACCCUGCCCCUCGCCCUCAGAGCUCCUCCGGGGGCAGUCUGCCCUCCGCCCCCCAGGCUGAGGUGAACCUGGACCCAGAGAGACCCUCGCACCAUUCAGGAAGGAGGGCCUGCCUGCCGCUGCAGGUCAGGCUCUGUGUGUGGCUGCAAAAGAAGCUUUAUUGAAAUUGUGUGAUUCCCGCCGCCUUUUAUUUAAUUUUGAGAUGAUACACAUGGCACGAAGCUCAGCAUUCUAACCACUGGAAAGUGAACAUCUCAGUGGCAUGAAGUACAUCUGCAUUGGUGUGCAACCCUCACCACUGCCUAGUUCCAGAACUUUUUCUCACCCCAGAUGGAAAUCCCAUACCCAUUAGCAGUCCCUCCCAGGGCCCCGCCCCAGCCCUACCAGCCCCUGGCAGCCACUAAUGCACUCUCUGUCUCUGUGGAUUGGCCUGUUCUGGGCGUUUCCAAUGAAUGGAAUCCUACAGUUUGUGGCCUUUUGUGUCUGGCUCCUUUCUGGGAGCAUGAUGGUUCUGAGGUUCAUCUGAGUAGCUUUGUACGGCUGAAUAAUAUUCCCUCACCUGCACGGACCACAUUUUGUCGGUCGUUCAUCUCUUGGGGGAUGUGUGGGUUGUUUCCAUGUGGCUGUUGUGAAGAGUGCUGCUGUGAGCAUUUGUGUAAAAUUGUGUGAGAUUUUUAAUCACAGGUGAGUCCCUGGGAUCUCAGCCUGUUGGCUGGGAGAUUUCCCAGAGCACCCACCCAUCGGAGGACUCCGCGUGGACAUCCCCAAACGGUCAGCCCAGGGUCCCACCGCCUCUCCAUCCCUUCUCGUGUCUCGUGUUGUCACUACCACCUCCUCACCGGUGACCACCCCCGCCCCCACCGCCCAUUGCCUGAGAACUGGGAAGACAGUGCCUGCCCUCUGUUUGCCUUCUGGAAGGGCAGAUCCGGAGGCUGGGAGGACGGCUGGGGAUGACUCACCGGCGGAGAGGAGCCCGUGUCCCACCAUCUCAAGGUUGGGUCCUCAGUGAUGACAGUGAGCUCAUCCUGGGUCCUGCCCAUGGAGACGGCAGUGAGCGUCCCCUGGGGGCCGUGCACGCGGAGGCCCUGCUCAGUGACAUUUGUAAUAAUGUCGUGAGCAGCAGCAUGUUCGUCUGCCGUGAAUUACAGCAAUCUGGACAAUUA
RNAcentral lists this long non-coding RNA (2536 nucleotides) under Homo sapiens (human). RNAcentral's name for it is "HSALNT0371143". The record is from RNAcentral. Lineage: Eukaryota; Metazoa; Chordata; Mammalia; Primates; Hominidae.